CCCACCGGGCGAGGCGGGGCGGGGCGUCGCGCGCGGUGGGGGCGGGGCAUGGCGCGCUGUGCGGCGCAGGGCGGCUGGCACAAACGGCGGCGCCGGGGCCGGAGGAAAAACCUCGCCACCCUGAAGGGUCCCUUCCCAAGCCCUUAGGGACGGCGGAGGACUUGGGGACCUGCAAGCAAUCCCCGGGGCACGAGAAGAGCUCUCGCUGUUUGCCCUGCCUCACCCUGCCUCACGCCAGGCCCGGUGGCCCCCAGCUGCAUCAAGUGUAGGCGGAGGAGGGUGGCACCAUGGGCCCGGGCGGUGCCCUCCAUGCCCGGGGGAUGAAGACAUUGCUGCCAUGGACAGCCCGUGCCAGCCACAGCCCCUAAGUCAGGCUCUCCCUCAGUUACCGGGGUCUUCGUCAGAGCCCUUGGAGCCUGGCCGGGCCAGGAUGGGGGUGGAGAGUUACCUGCCCUGUCCUUUGCUCCCCUCCUACCACUGUCCAGGAGUGCCCAGUGAGGCCUCAGCAGGGAGUGGGACCCCCAGAGUCACAGCCACCUCUACCACUGCCAGCCCCCUUCGGGAGGGCUUUGGUGGGCAGGAUGGUGGUGAGCUGCGGCCGCUGCAGAGUGAAGGUGCCGCAGCGCUGGUCACCAAGGGGUGCCAGCGACUGGCAGCCCAGGGUGCCCGGCCUGAGGCCCCCAAACGGAAAUGGGCCGAGCAUGGUGGGGAUGCCCCUUCAUCCAGCAAGCGGCCCUGGGCCAGGCAAGAGAACCAGGAGGCAGAGCAGCAGGAGGGUGGUAAGAGCUGCGGCUGCAGCAGUGGCAGUGGUGAGGCCCGCGCUGGGCUGGUGGAGGAGGUGCUGCCCUCUGCGCCUGAGCGCCUGGCCCUGGACUAUAUCGUGCCCUGCAUGCGGUACUAUGGCAUCUGUGUCAAGGACAGCUUCCUGGGGGCAGCACUGGGUGGCCGCGUGCUGGCCGAGGUGGAGGCCCUCAAACGGGGUGGGCGCCUUCGAGAUGGGCAGCUGGUCAGCCAGCGGGCGAUCCCGCCGCGCAGCAUCCGUGGGGACCAGAUUGCCUGGGUGGAAGGCCAUGAGCCAGGCUGCCGAAGCAUUGGUGCCCUCAUGGCCCAUGUGGACGCCGUCAUCCGCCACUGCGCAGGGCGGCUGGGCAGCUACGUCAUCAACGGGCGCACCAAGGCCAUGGUGGCGUGUUACCCAGGCAACGGGCUCGGGUACGUAAGGCACGUUGACAAUCCCCACGGCGAUGGACGCUGCAUCACCUGUAUCUAUUACCUGAAUCAGAACUGGGACGUUAAGGUGCAUGGAGGCCUGCUGCAGAUCUUCCCUGAGGGCCGGCCGGUGGUAGCCAACAUCGAGCCACUCUUUGACCGGUUGCUCAUUUUCUGGUCUGACCGGCGGAAUCCCCACGAGGUGAAGCCAGCGUAUGCCACCAGGUACGCCAUCACUGUCUGGUAUUUUGAUGCCAAGGAGCGGGCAGCAGCCAAAGACAAGUAUCAGCUAGCAUCAGGACAGAAAGGUGUCCAAGUACCUGUAUCUCAGCCGGCUACGCCCACCUAGUGGCCGGGUACCAGAGCCGCAUGGCAGACAGCUUGCCCUGACUUCAGGAGAGCCCUGCGCUCGUGCUGGCCGCUCCUUCCCUGCCACCGCUGCUGCUUCUGACUCUGCCUCUGUCCUGCCUGGCGUGGAAGGCUCUGUCUGUUGCUGAGGACCAAGGAGCAGAAGAGACCUCUGCUGCCCCAUGAUGGGGGCUGGGGUUGUGACCGGGACCGGGGGCAGCCUUGGAGGCCACCAUUACCAACUGAGGCUGGGGGCCUGGGUCCUACCCUGUCUGGUCAUGACCCCAUUAGGUGUGGAGAGCUGGGAGGAGGCAUUGUCACUUCCCACCAGGAGGCAGGAUUUGGGGUUGCGGGAUAACUGCUUCAGUCGGCACAGUGCACGCCCUCCCGUUCUGGCUGAUCUCGGAAUACACGCUUGUGCACCCGGGCCCCGAACAGGAUCCCCAGAGUCGGUGGGCUCCCCAGAGUGGUCUCGCAGGUAGGUGUCGCGAAUGAGGGCGCGCGGUGGCACCACGCUGAUGAAGCGCUGGAUCUCAAGCAGCACUCUAUUGGUGUAGGGCAGGUGCACGUGGUCAUCCUGGCUUGGGGUGCGCGGCCGCCUUGCCACGGUGUCCAGCUCCAAUGCACCUUUUUGGGGGGCCAGGGGUGGUUGUGAGCUGCGCACUUUGGGACCCUCCAGCCAUCCCCAAACCACAGCCUCCCAUUCUGGGUCUCUCCAGCUCGAAAACCUGCUACCUCUGGGUACUUAAGUAGAUUAAGGAGCCCAUAGUGCAGGGUGGUGCUCGUGGUCUCGGUGCUGCCAAAAAAAAAAAAACGGUGUAAUUACCAACGUCUCCUCCUGGAUCCUGUUGCUGCUGUGGGCAGAGGAGACACACUGUCGUGUGCUAGGCACUUGGUGGGCAGUAUGGACAGAGUUUAGGGAGCUGGGAUCCACAUAUACCUUAGCCAUCUGGUCGAGGAAGCAAUCGAUGAAAUCGCGAGUCUCCACCGGCUGCCACAUCUGGUGUCACUGGAUUUGCUGAGAGAUGAAGACCUGCAGCUCCAAAGUUUCAGGAGAUUAGGAGGUACGGCCAGGGAGCCAGUCCAUGAGAGACGGGAAAAAUCAUCUGGAGAGAUAGGGUCUCAACAAGGGCCCUGGACGAAGCCAGUAGGCCUUAGUUUCCUUAGACUAGGGAGAUUGGACCAGGACUUUGAUACUGGAGUUUCUAGAACUCUUCCAUUCCAAGAAUCUCACUGUCCCACUCUAACGAUCCACUGUAGGUAGGUUUGCAUACUCGUGAUUUGGCAUAAGGCUGGACUCAAAAGGGAGAGACUGUGGCCAGCCCUGUCACGUGGCCCCGUCUGGAACUCAUGAUGUGGAAGGUGUCAUUGAAGAGGUUCAAGAGCAUCAGAAACUCGGGGUCCCCGUAACCAUAGUGGUUCCUGAAGACAAGAACAGAUAACAUUGAAUACAGCAUUAUCCAGUCGCCCAUGGGGUCAAGCCUGGCUCCCGGGGGUGGGAACAGGACGGUGGUCCUAACGUGUGGUCCGGCCCCCAGCCAGCUCCCUGGGCUUACUGGCUUGCUUAAAGCUACACACCUUCCACGGGCCCCACCUUGGCAGUCCAAGGGCCACACCCACACCAGGCCCUUCUGCUCUCCCGGCCAGGCCGCACCAAUGGUGGCUUGAAGCAGACCAGCCGCCGCCUCCAGGACGCGCGCCUCGAUGCUCCGCGUACCCAAUCCGAAAUCCAGCGCUCCAAGUGCAAAAUUGCGCAGUGUCCGCCAGCGCGUCCUGUUAGAAAACAAGAUUCCUGUCAGGGUGACAGGAAAAGAGGCGGGCCCAGGAGUUGGCCACGCCCCAUCCAGGAAGUGCCGGGUCACUAGCUACAUCCUUUUCUGGGCCUCCGACCCCUGCGGCCGCCCUCCUUCGCUUUGCUUUACCAGACCGCUAAGUGCCGUAUCCAUACGCUGGUCCCUCCUUUGCUGGUCUCGAUCCCUGACCUGUACCCGAAGGCUCUCGGGCUUUGAGUCUUAGGCUCUCCUCUCUUCUCGGCUGCGGGGUGAAGCUGGGUUCGAACCUGCUUUAGCGCCUCCCCGCCCUCUCUCGGCGGUGGGCACCUGGUGGGCUGGAGUCUCUGUCAGGCCCUGCCUCCAUUUUCCCACCUCUACCUUUAGGGGCCCAUCCUGGAGCAUCCCAGCCAGGACGUCCAGCGCCCGGGCCUCACCGUUAACUCGUGUGAAGGGUUCGAAGAUGGCCAUGGACCUGCGGCCGGACAAGGCAUCGGCCGGUAGCACCAACGCGUCCCGCUGCGCUGCAGAGCCGCACACACAGCGCCACUGCAGAGCGCGGGCCCAGCCACACUGCGAGCACCGGGUCCCAGCGGCCGGAGAGCACCAGCGGCCGGUGCUCAGCAGGUGCCCAUCGGGUUCCUCAUCCGAGCCCUCGCCCCCACCUCCCUCUUCCUUCAGACCCAGGAGUUCCCCCUCGCGCCAGCCCCUCAUUCCUCAGGGUCAGGAGUUCAGAUCCCCAGCUCCUUCCUCCCUGAGACUUAGGAGUCCAGGUCCCCUCUUCCUGCUUCCCGUGGGACCGAGAAGUCCUACUUCCAGCCUCCUGCACCCUCAGAGCUGGACUCCUGGACCCUCAGUACUCGGCCUCCCCGCCUUGAACCAGGAGAACAGACCUGCUUUGCUUCCUCUUCCCACAACCUGAUUUCCUGCUCUGGGCUCCUCCCUUGCGACCCAGUGUCCUGGUCCCAAGCUCGCUAGGCUCCUUUCCUAGAACUCAGGAGUCCGGGGCACUCAUCCUUCCUGUCCUUCCUCAGGAUCAUAGAGGACAAGCCCUCAGCUGUCUUCAUUCAGGAGGUGUUCUAGUCCCCAGCCCUGCCUCCAAGAAUUCAGAAUUCUGUUCCCCCAUUUCUGUGGGGUUACCUCCAGGAGUGCCCGGUCCAGGCCUCCAGACUGCAGCAGCAAGUUUCCCAGCAAUGGGAGCGGCCUGGGCCGGGGAGGUAGGGACCCCUGCAUCUGAGCGCCGCACCCACCUACCCCCACCAUGCCAGCGCCAGCACCAGAAGCCAUAACAGCAGCGCCAAGAUCCCCUGAUCAUCAUGCCUGCAGUUCUCCACGCCUGCACCCCUUCACCUUUAUUUGAUUUCCGAGGGGUCUUAGGGGUGGAGACCCGAAGUGGGAGGAGUGGACGUCUUCUGGCUGCUCAUUGUGUGUAUUCCCCAACCUGAGGUCUCCACCCUGUCCCCAGCCCUGGUGGAACUGUGCCCUGGCUCCCCUGGCUUUUGUGUGUGUGUGCCUGCCUCAGCCUGUCCUACUUAGCAACUUUGGGGCACCAGCAUUUUCAUGUUAACACACCCAGCCAACAGGUGCACCAUCCUGAGCCCUUAGCACCUUUGAGUCCAACUUACUUGGCCUGUAGGUGUAUUCCUCAAUCUCUGAGCCACCUGUGGGCCCCCUGAAUGCUAUACCCGGUCCCUCUGAUUCAUGAAUACACUCUGACCUUCAAAUGCUACUGAUACUCUCCCUCUCCUUUCUCCUUAUUUCCUUUUUAAAAAAUUUUUUUUAAUUAAAAAGGAAAAAAUAUGGAA
This is an RNA transcript of Sapajus apella (tufted capuchin), 5131 nucleotides long. It is a transcript of the gene named egl-9 family hypoxia inducible factor 2, with no coding region annotated. The transcript is spliced from 7 exons. Lineage: Eukaryota; Metazoa; Chordata; Mammalia; Primates; Cebidae. The record is from RefSeq and is a predicted model, not a curated record.